GACAGAGGGGGCAAGCGUUGCUCGGCAUCACUGGGCGUAAAGGGCGCGUAGGCGGGAUGGCAAGUCGGUCGUGAAAUCUCUCGGCUCAACCGAGAAACGUCGGCCGAUACUGCCGUUCUUGAGGGAUGCAGAGGAGACUGGAAUUCCCGGUGUAGCGGUGAAAUGUGUAGAGAUCGGGAGGAACACCGGUGGCGAAGGCGGGUCUCUGGGCAUUUCCUGACGCUGAGGCGCGAAAGCGUGGGGAGCAAACGGG
This 253-nucleotide ribosomal RNA is filed under the name uncultured bacterium. RNAcentral's name for it is "partial 16S ribosomal RNA". It matches the Rfam family "Bacterial small subunit ribosomal RNA", at positions 524 to 776 of the family's 1533-position model. The record is from RNAcentral.